AUGCCACCCCCAAAAUAUUAAAAAUUCUCUGCUAGGAAGCUCAGUACUGAAGGUGGGUGUGGAUUUCUGCCCCUAAAAAAAGCCCAUAAAUGGGUAAUGCAUACAGAUAUACAGAUUGAAGCAGUGUGGCAGCCAGGAGGUGGGGAAGGGGAUGGCUGAAGUGGAUAUAUGGAGACGAAGACCAUGACGAGGGGUAUCACUGCUAAAGAUGGCCUGGACAUUACAUCUGCACAGCAAUGGGAGGACACCACGAGAGCCCAGCUCUGUGAACCCUCAGUGUCACCUACCAACCACAAGUGAGCCUCUGCAUGACAGCAAGACCCCAAAACCAAUAGCAGUGGGCAAGCCUGUUUUUCAAGGGCACCCCAACCCGUUAGCAAGAAGAGGCAUCGCCAUCCCUGCAGCCACUAGAUGGUGCCAAGAGAAAGAGCGUGGGAGGAACGGGGUGAGGAAGAGGAGGGCACCCGCGCCUCCAGCUGUCCCCUGCCACCCGAAAGCCUGGCCGUGGGGUGAGGGACAAACCCCAGGUAUGUACAGUUUGCAGCGGAAGAUCUCCCAGCCCAUGUCCGUGGGGAGGCAUCGUCCUGGCUGGGGAGUGUUUGGGACCUAACGGCGAUGAGGUUGUGGCUGGGAAGUCCUCGACUGGUUUUGUGCUGGGUUGGCCAGCUGGUAUCGCCCAGUGUGGUUGGGCUCACACCAGGAGUGCUGUCCCAGCUCCUCCUGUGCUGUCCCCAUCAGAUGUCCCUGGUUUCUGCAACAAGCAAAGAUGUGGUGCAUGGGAAGAUGGAGAUUUCUCUGCCCUCGUGAAGGAAACCUGUGCCUAUGCUAGGAUGGGACCUGGAGAUUGCUCCCAGCAGGGCCCUUGCAGGCUCCCUGUGGGAGAAAGCACGGCUGGAAAUAGGGCUGGGGUGGGGGACAUGGGUGCGCCGGGUGGAGCUGCAGAGAUGACAGCCUCCUUGCAAUUUCUGGGUGCAAUGCCUCCCCUGCCUUCCGGAGCCUGCAAGGAUUUGGGCCACAUCUUUCGGUUGUAGUGCAAGAUCAAAAGAAAACCUCAUUUGGCUUCAUUUCAAUGAAAGCUAAAAGUCUGAAAAUGCAAAAGCCAAGUGAAAUUUCUCUGUAUCUGUCAGCCUGUUGAAUUUGCCCAUCUGUGCCAGGUUGCAUGACUUUGUGUCUCGCACUUCGUUCUGGUUCUCCUAAAAGACUUGGUUCCCGG
Molecule: long non-coding RNA, 1213 nt
Filed under: Anser brachyrhynchus (Pink-footed goose)
Lineage: Eukaryota; Metazoa; Chordata; Aves; Anseriformes; Anatidae
Description: lncRNA (ENSABRG00000021056.1)
Source: RNAcentral